UACAGAGGUCUCAAGCGUUGUUCGGAUUCAUUGGGCGUAAAGGGUGCGUAGGUGGUGGGGUAAGUCGGAUGUGAAAGCUCGGAGCUCAACUCCGAAAUGGCAUUGGAAACUACCCUGCUAGAGGAUUGGAGGGGGGACUGGAAUACUUGGUGUAGCAGUGAAAUGCGUAGAUAUCAAGUGGAACACCAGUGGCGAAGGCGAGUCCCUGGACAAUUCCUGACACUGAGGCACGAAAGCUAGGGGAGCAAACAGG
This 253-nucleotide ribosomal RNA is filed under the name uncultured bacterium. Its description in RNAcentral is "partial 16S ribosomal RNA". It matches the Rfam family "Bacterial small subunit ribosomal RNA", at positions 524 to 776 of the family's 1533-position model. The record is from RNAcentral.